Molecule: ribosomal RNA, 439 nt
Filed under: uncultured bacterium
Lineage: Bacteria
Description: partial 16S ribosomal RNA
Rfam family: Bacterial small subunit ribosomal RNA
Source: RNAcentral
CCUACGGGCGGCAGCAGUGGGGAAUAUUGCACAAUGGGCGAAAGCCUGAUGCAGCAACGCCGCGUGAGCGAUGAAGGCCUUCGGGUCGUAAAGCUCUGUCCUCAAGGAAGAUAAUGCCUGUCCUUGAGGAGGCAGCCCCGGCAAACUACGUGCCCGCAGCCGAGGUACUACGUCGGGGGCUAGGGUUAUCGGGAAUUACUGGGCGUAAGGGUGGCGUAGGUGGUUUUUUAAGUCAGAGGUGAAAGGCUAGGGCUCAACCGGAGUAAGCCUUUGAAACUGGGAAACUUGAGUGCAGGAGAGGAGAGUGGAAUUCCUAGUGUAGCGGUGAAAUGCGUAGAUAUUAGGAGGAACACCAGUGGCGAAGGCGGCUCUCUGGACUGUAACUGACACUGAGGCACGAAAGCGUGGGGAGCAAACAGGAUUAGAUACCCGAGUAGUC